ACCAGCCCCAAACCAGCUCCAAAUGUCCCCCAAAAUAGCCCAAAGACAGUUCCAAAACAGCCCCAAACCAGACCCAAACCAGACCCAAACCAGCUCCAAACCAUCCCCAAACCAGCUCCAAACCAGCACCAAACCAGCCCCAAACCAGCUCCAAACCAUCCCCAAACCAUCCCCAAACCAGCACCAAACCAGCCCCAAACCAGCUCCAAACCAUCCCCAAACCAGCUCCAAACCAGCCCCAAACCAUCCCCAAACCAGCUCCAAACCAGUCCCAAAACAGCCCCAAACCGGACCCAAACCAGACCAAAACCAGCUCCAAACCAGCCCCAAACCAGCCCCAAACCAGCUCCAAACCAGCCCCAAACCAGCCCCANNNNNNNNNNNNNNNNNNNNNNNNNNNNNNNNNNNNNNNNNNNNNACCCCAAACCAUCCCCAAAACAGCCCAAAAAGAGCUCCAAACCAGCCCCAAACAGCUGCAAACCAUCUCCAACCCAGCCCCAAAUAAGCUCCAAACCAGCUCCAAACCAGCCCCAAACCAGCUUUAAACCAUCCCCAAACCAGCCCCAAACCAGACCAGCCCCAAACCAGCCCCAAACCAGCCCCAAACCAGCCCCAAACCAGCCCCAAACCAGCCCCAAACCAGCCCCAAACCAGCCCCAAACCAGCCCCAAACCAGCCCCAAACCAGCCCCAAACCAGCCCCAAACCAGCCCCAAACCAGCCCCAAACCAGCCCCAAACCAGCCCCAAACCAGCCCCAAACCAGCCCCAAACCAGCCCCAAACCAGCCCCAAACCAGCCCCAAACCAGCCCCAAACCAGCCCCAAACCAGCCCCAAACCAGCCCCAAACCAGCCCCAAACCAGCCCCAAACCAGCCCCAAACCAGCCCCAAACCAGCCCCAAACCAGCCCCAAACCAGCCCCAAACCAGCCCCAAACCAGCCCCAAACCAGCCCCAAACCAGCCCCAAACCAGCCCCAAACCAGCCCCAAACCAGCCCCAAACCAGCCCCAAACCAGCCCCAAACCAGCCCCAAACCAGCCCCAAACCAGCUCCAAACCAGCCCCAAACCAGCCCCAAACCAGCCCCAAACCAUCCCCAAACCAGCCCAAACCAGCCCAAACCAGCCCCAAACCAGCCCAAACCAGCCCAAACCAGCCCAAACCAUCCCAGAGCAGGAGCCCCACCCGCGGGCCCCACUUCGCUCCCGUUGCAGGCCAGGCCGCUGCGGGGCGCUGGGCCAGGCCCCCUCUGCCUUCUGA
This 1260-nucleotide long non-coding RNA is filed under the name Ficedula albicollis (Collared flycatcher). RNAcentral describes it as "lncRNA (ENSFALG00000028639.1)". The record is from RNAcentral. Lineage: Eukaryota; Metazoa; Chordata; Aves; Passeriformes; Muscicapidae.